Long non-coding RNA from Pezoporus occidentalis (night parrot), 3756 nucleotides. RefSeq lists it as uncharacterized. Lineage: Eukaryota; Metazoa; Chordata; Aves; Psittaciformes; Psittacidae. The transcript has 4 exons. The record is from RefSeq and is a predicted model, not a curated record.
CUAUUGAUUUUAUGUAAAAAGUUGUCUUGGUCGCUGAGUUUACUUAGUAAAAGGCUGUUGUUCUUAGCUGUAUUUCAGGAUCACUAUAAAGAAAUCUUUUCUGUGAGUGCAUGGGAAUGACUUCAUUUCACGUUUUGUGUUGCUCAAGCAGAUGUUCUAGAAACUAGCAAAAGAACCUGCUAUUUAAGAGGGAUGUUUCAAGGCUCCUGCUGUCUCCUAGCAGAAUGCCCAUGUUUGGGGUUAUUUUAUGCCUGUGUCAGCUGAUAAAAGUUUCCCCAAAGUAAGAUAUAAAAAACUCAGGUUAAGCACAAGAUCAGGAGGAGCCUACGUCAGAAAAUUCCUGUGCUCAUUUCUUCCCUUGGGCCUGACCCUGUUGCCCCUGCCAGGCAGGAGCCCUCCCUGCUCAUAACAGGUUGUUCUUUCAGCCAGCAUGACAGAUGCCUGGGCACAGAGGCUCUGGCAAAAGGAAAGAUUAGAGAUAACAUUACUGGUAGCAUAAUCCCAGCAUGUCUAAGAAAAAUGCUCUUGGAAAGAAAUUUCUUGCUCUCAGGUGAAAUUCAGCAGUGAGUUUGUAGCUGAAGUGUUGUAGUUUCUGAAAAUGUCCAUACAAAUGCAUGCAUGUGUACAGAUGCACACCCAAAGCACUGAUGCAAAGGAGCUCUGUUGCAACCAGGCAGCUUUGUGUACUUUUUUGCCAUUCACAUUUUUCAGUUCUGAAAAGAAAGUGUAAAUGAAAAUGUGAAAACAGGAAUGGUGUUUGCUCCCUGGGUUUUCUGUGUUAGAGCCAAGAGAAAUACAAAAAGCCAACAGAAGCUUGGAAACUAACCCUGAGACUUCCAUUUAGCCAUGCAAAUCCUUCUCUGAGCACCUUCUGAAAAUCAAGGCAGUGAAAUCCCAGAGUCGUCAAUAACACUCUGUGCUAUAGAAGUUCUGGAAUUCAACAUUUUCAUUAAGGAGCCUUCGGAUUUUGUUUUCAAGUGAUUGAUGGGACUUAGUGGCACCUCUGCCACUGGCUUCACAGAGGACUCAUGUCGUCAAAUCACAGUGUCACUUUCAAAAAUCUUACCUCAAGUUCUCAGUCCUUAGCACUCACUCCUGGAUGUCCAGAAUCCAAAUCUGUCUAGCUGUUUCCUUCUGAAGGCAGAGCACAUCCUCAUGAAGCAAAGUAGGCACCUCCAGGGACUUGUUUCCAUAACAACCUCCCAGACUGUUUCUCUUUACCCUGUGACUGUGGCUACAAGCAAAAGCACUCAUUGCGUAUUUUCAGUUUUUAGAUAUUAGCACUUUGUCUUUACAGCUGUUUCUUUGCUUACUGAAAAUGAUCCCACCACCUUAUAUCAUGUACAACUGUCCUGUCCAACUUCAGACAGGCAGUUUUCAGCAUGUGAAAGCAAAGAGUGCAAACCAGGAGAUGAGAGGGGAUUAUAUUUGUAUAUUCUUGCACACAGAGAGGUGGGGAGCGUGUGAAGGACAGUCUGAGCACUUGCAGUCAAGGAGCUGAGGGGCACCUGGCCUGUGAAUGUAGAGUCAACUGGGUGCCUGGUGGCAAGGAAUGCAAGCUAAAGCAUCAGUUUAAAAAACCCAGAUACUUCCUUUUCAACAAUCUUGUUAGGAAGUAGUUUUGCUGUGGAAGAGGCUGUUGCUUGUUCCUGAACCCUAGGCUGUUCUGCAACAAUCAGUUCCCCCGAUGAUUUUCCCAUGGGGUGUUUUACACCAAAGCAAGACGGGGCAGAAGGCAUCUCAUUUUAGGUGGGAAAGGAAGGAAAGGGAAGAAUUUUACUGAGAACACUGUUUUUUUUUUGUCUGUAACUCAUUGACCACAUCAAAGACAGUAAGUGUGAAAGGCAUUAAGAGCUGUUAUGUGAUAUUUCAAAGCCUGUAUUAUUGGUGUAUCUCUGCACUUACCUCCAAGAUGAAAUUCCUGUUUUGCUCUUGCUUGGAAAAAGUCGUAGUUCAGGACUGCUGGUUUGGCCCUGUUCCUUCUGAUCCAGCUUUCAUGAGUAAAAAGUCACUGCUACAGCAGCUAUGGGAGUGAAGGUGAUCGGACUUGGUGUUCUGUCCUAGCCCCCCUCGUUCAGUGUACAGAGGUCCUAUGGAGAUGAAGAAGAAUGAGUACAAAGGAAAUUCAGGGCAGCAAAAGACAGGGUAAGGACUGAAGUGUCUUCCAUAGUGUGAUUGAAAGAACAGCACCCAUCCUAAAAGCAAAGGAACAAACAGCUCCAGCAUCUGCUGCUUUCGCAGAAGUAGGUCCUGUCUAUAUCAGGGAAGAGAUCUGCAGAUUACAGCAGGAGUUAACCACAGCUUUCCCAAAAGCUCUCAUGUGACUUGAGUCCAACUUGAUGGCAUCCAUUUUCAGAAAGCAGAUGCUGCCCUCUUUUACACUGGUGCAAUUCUGGAAUAACUGCACUGACGUCAGUGAAGUGACUCCAAAUUUAUCCCUGGUGAAAGCAGAACUGGACCACAGUCUUUUUGUUUGCUUAUCCACUCUGGCGUUUUCAGGAAGGUGCACCAUUACUGUACCAUAAGGGGAAGGCUGGAUUCUGGAUGCUGCAAGGCUGUCAGGAUGCUGCAAAACACAUUGUUGCAUCUUCUUACUGCAGAGUUGGAGAAGUUUCUCUGUGUGCAGGGAAUACAACAUUUAUGGACAGGAAAGUGGUUUCCUUGAUUUAUGGUUUUCUUGUUGCUGGCCUUUGUUAAAGGGGUUAACACUCUUAGUUCCAGGAAACUGAAACUAGAUGUGAAUGGGGAUGGAGGGAGGAGGCAGGGAGAAUCCCAUAUAAGAUUCAAAUUUGUCUGAUUUCUGGGAAAACUAAAUAAAGCUGGAUUCAAUUGCCAGUGGCUAAAUAACAGCAAUUUAUGAGCUGUUCAUCAAAAGCCUCAGUCAAGCACUGAGUGCUGUGGGAAGCUGGAAAUUGACACUGGGCACCUCCAAAAGACUCCAUUGUUGAAACUUACUUUAAAUGUUUUUUCAAGUGCAGCAUUUAGUCCUGGCGAAUGCAUAAGGUCAGCCCUUAUAAGAGCAAAUAGCUUUCACUAGAGGAUCUAACAAGUGGCCAAAGUCUGCCCAUUUGUCUGCCUGUCUUUUGGCCUUGGAUUACUGUGCUAUUUAAAACUGUGUUUUCAUAACUCAAAUAAAUGGUAGAUGUUUCACAUAGCUCUACAAGUAGUAAUCAUCAUGUUUGUGCCUAAUAUCUGAUAUCUAAGGGAUGGGCCCAAACCAGAGGUAUUUCUCAUUUACCUAGGAAGUGUCUUGCUUUAGCGUAUGUACAGUCAGUUCUUGUGGUGAACAUGUGAGUCCAUUGCUCCUCCAAAGGAGGCAGUGAUUUAGUUUCAGUGGCUGUAGAGUUUCACUGAAGUAGCACUGUUUGUAGUCUUUCAUGUGAUUUAGGAGGCACAAUAGCCAGACAGUUCUAAAAACGCGAUAUAAUUGUUUGCAGAUUUCUAAGAAAAUGCUCCGAAGUCUUCUCCUGUUGCACCAUUGUGAUAAAGAACUGUUGCUUUUCAAGCUCCACAAGUCCAUGCCGUGUAGUGCUGAAAGUGAUAGAAAACCCUUCACAGAAAAGUGAAGGGCAGAGUGGGAUACUGUGGCCUGGGAUACCCUCCCUUUAGCAGCAGGAAAGGUCAGUUAUGCAGCCAAAUGCCUAUAACCAAAGAUGGAUCCACCCUGUGUGUGUUGCCAGCUCUGCAUAGGAGAGUGGGAGGAUUGCUAGGAAGAAUGGAUUCUGGGAAGGGAGAGGCUGAGAGGAAGUGUGGAGU